AAGUCGUAACAAGGUAACCGUAGGUGAACCUGCGGUUGGAUCAUUAUUGAUUUAUGAACUGAUUGAAUGUUGGACUGAUGUUUUGCAUCAGGUUCCGGUUAUUCGUCUGCCGACGGUAACUGCCUCAUUAUUCUAUCAGUUUUAAACCUUUUGUGCACUGUAAUUGUCUCUUCGGAGUUACUUGUCGGUUGAUUAAGAGUUGGUUGGGUUGAGGCUGAUUUGCAAAAUUUCUUUGAAGGUUAGGACCAUAGCUUCAGGCUAAGGGACACUAGUGAUUAAAAUUUUGCUAUAAUUGAUUUCAAAUCCUAUGAUAAUUGAUCAACCAUGCAUCUCCGUGCCAUAACUAACCACCUUUAACCUUUGACUGAUUAUAUUUUUCUUAUGAAAUUUAUUAACAACUUUUGACAACGGAUCUCUUGGCUCUC
Molecule: unclassified non-coding RNA, 425 nt
Filed under: fungal sp.
Lineage: Eukaryota; Fungi
Description: partial internal transcribed spacer region
Rfam family: Eukaryotic small subunit ribosomal RNA (bases 1-46)
Source: RNAcentral